Small nuclear RNA from Eptesicus fuscus (big brown bat), 164 nucleotides. RefSeq annotates it as U1 spliceosomal RNA. The transcript has a single exon. The record is from RefSeq and is a predicted model, not a curated record. Lineage: Eukaryota; Metazoa; Chordata; Mammalia; Chiroptera; Vespertilionidae.
AUACUUACCUGGCAGGGAAGGUACCAUGAUCAUGAAGGUGGUUUUCCCAGGGUGAGGCUUAGCCAUUGCACUCCAGAUGUGCUGACCCCUGUGGUCUCCCCAAAUGUGGGAAACUCGACUGCAUCAUUUGUGGUCUUGGAGGGCUGUGUUCGUGCUGUCCACUG